CGGGGGUUGCCAAGCCAGGUCAAAGGCGCAGGGCUUAGGACCCUGUCUCGUAGGAGUUCGCGAGUUCAAAUCUCGUCCCCCGCAU
Molecule: transfer RNA, 85 nt
Filed under: Candidatus Syntropharchaeum caldarium
Lineage: Archaea; Methanobacteriati; Halobacteriota; Candidatus Syntropharchaeia; Candidatus Syntropharchaeales
Description: Candidatus Syntrophoarchaeum caldarius tRNA-Leu
Rfam family: tRNA
About the family: Transfer RNA (tRNA) molecules are approximately 80 nucleotides in length. Their secondary structure includes four short double-helical elements and three loops (D, anti-codon, and T loops).
Source: RNAcentral